AUUUCCUGUAGGUGUGGAUGAGGCGGGUCAGCAACGGGGCAGGCCCUGCCCGCCCUCUCCCCUAAGACGCGGACGGACGCCAGGCUGGCGAGCAUGCGUAGGCACAGCAUGCAGUGUCCACACUCCCGUCAACAGCACACGCCCCAGGCCCUGCUGUCACCACAGGUCCCCAGCGCCACCCACGUGGCAGCAGCCACCAGAGUUCCGUGAGCAGUGCUGCCUCUGCCCAAGAUCCUCCAGGUCUCCCCUCUUCUGUGGAGUCAGUUGAGGCCUCCCCACGCCUCCUGCUCCCUCAGCCCCAGCCCAUCCUGCGCCAGGGCCUUUGCAUGGCUUGGCCUUCCUCCGAGUCAUGAGUCGUCAGGGAUGCCCACAACCAACUUGAAAAACGACUGAAAGCAGCCCAGAGACAGGCAGUGCCUUGCCCGAGGACACACAGCAAUUCCAUUCUGCUCUGGAGGCGCCUCUGGCCACUCUGGUGUACCAGCCUGGCAGCUGUCCUUCCCCACCCUGGGUCCAUCAGAAGCAGCAGAGGGCAUGUGGGGGACACGGGAGGAGACGUCGCGACCACGGGCGUGCAGACUGCACAGUGGGGAAACUGAGACCUGGAAGAUGGAAUCUGUGAUCCCAGGUGAUUACCAAGCUGGGACACACUAGGCAGUCCGUCCAAACCCAUCGACCCCCGGUCUGCUAGGCUGGGACUCUAGGCUGGGAAUCGGUUCUUUCAAGCUUGUCAUCAGAUCCAAACCCUCCCUCCCCACGCUGGGCACUGACAGCAUUUCACUCGACGAUGCUCGGAUCCUAGCUCACACUAGCCUGUCACAUGGCUUUCCCACUUCAAGCUACCUGGACUCUUUAACAGGUCAUCGUGUGUUGGAGGCGCCGCCUGCCUCCCUCCACGCAGGGUGACGCAGGGCCACCGAGAGUCUAAAACUCGGGUGAAGGAGGCCACCUUAGUGGUGCACCUGGGAUGGAAGGCGCCCCAGGCUCAGGCCACCUGUGGCGAGGCCCCCCCGAGGCGCGGCUCACUCCUGGCUUCCUGGCUCCUGCUCUGACCCCAGCCCGUGGGCGGGUGCAGCCCUGGGUCCGGCCAGGGCUGGUGCUUACC
Molecule: long non-coding RNA, 1105 nt
Organism: Mesocricetus auratus (golden hamster)
Lineage: Eukaryota; Metazoa; Chordata; Mammalia; Rodentia; Cricetidae
Exons: 3
Source: RefSeq, a predicted model, not a curated record